CGUUAAUAUAUUUUAUGUUGCAGUCAGAUUUCUACUUACUUCCCUGUAAAGUUUUAUAAUGUUUUUUAUGUCAUUCCAGAUAAACAGUUUUGAGGAAAGUAGUGUCACUGGGAGCUACAUGGGAAGAGCAGUAAAUAAUUUAGGUGGGUCAUACAUUUUGAUUUUUUCACUCACUUUAAAUCAUCCCUGCUUUAAAGUGCAGCACAUAUUUUAUCACAAAAGUAUUUAUCUGAGAGCCAAAUGAAAUUGUCAACACUUAUACUGCAUGUCACAGGUUUCCUGACAGGACAAGAUGUUACUUCUAUCAUUGUUUGUCCUCUCCCUCUCUCUCUCUCUCUCUGUCUAUCUCUCUCUGUCUUAAUCUCUCUACUGCCUACAUAGACAUUAAACUCGAAUCCUCUAAUGGGCUGCUUAAAAAGAAGCAAUACACCCACAUUUUCUAAAAUAGUAUACUGUUGCUUUAGUUUGAAAAAACUUGCAAAUAGUCGUUUCAUGCUAGAAUCAUUAUGAUUAUGAUGUACUGUCCCACCUUCCUUUUGUUUUCCCUUUCCUCACUUGUAUGUGUAAGAAAUGCCAGGUGUGAUAUGGAUCGACAGCUGCCAGUCAGACAGCAGUGGUUUUCCAGAGGAACUCUCAAACCCCUCCCUCUCUCAGGCGUCACCAGGACCUGAUCUCAUUAAGGAUCUGUCUAGCCUGUCAGGAGGGAGCAAUGACAGCAAGAGACGUGAGAGGCCCGGCUCACUGUUUUUUCACACCUCCCCAUCGUACCUGCUCUCCUCAUCUCAAACCUCUCCUGAUGACAAAUCUGUCCUUUCCUCACCCUGUCCUUCAACAGGGCAUUCACUAGUCUUUGACCCUCACCUAUGUCCUGUCUCAUUGUGUCUCCCAAAAUCUGACCUGCAAUUGUCAGAGAUGGAGAAACCACCAGAUCAGGAACAGUUUCAACCUGCUUCGUUGCGUAUAUUGGUAUGCAAGUACCUUUCUGAGUUACAAAAAGUAACAAACCUCCAAUCUCCUGUCCUCGUCCCUCAUGUCCUCUCUGGUGAGGAUAAGGAUGCCCCAUCCGCCAACCUCUGUACUCUUUCUAAUGACUCUGAAGGCACAGCAUGCUUUCCAAGUUACCCUCUACCUGUCAUAUCACUUUCACCCUCUCCAAAUUGUGAUCAUCCAUUUUCUGCCUUGGAUGCCAUAUCUUCUGCCCAGUCUAACUUGAGUCCAGGGAACACAAGGCUAGAAUGGGCUGAGGUUGCUUCUCAUGAAUACACCAUCUCUGCCUCCUCACGUUUAUCACCUGAUACCACUCCUGAUUUUCAUUAUCCAUCCUCUUCACCAUCUCCCCCACUAUUUCAGUCCCUCUCAUGGAAUACAGAAAACCAUAAAAAAGAGUCACUUAUUUCCAUAUGCCUCUCUGAUCCACCUGCCAAUACACAGGAGAAAGAGGACAAGGGCAAUCCCUUAUCUCCAUCCUGUCACUCUAAAUUUAAAAGUGAGUGUACUGCACUGCCUUGCCUGUCACAUAACUCUUCCAAUCCAAUUUGUCAGUCUGAUUUGUCAUCACAGUCUCAGGAUCCACAUGAUCUUAUAGAUAUAGCCGUUGAAAGAAUUUCAGACCUAACAGAGCAAUCCAUCCCCCAGCAAAACAGAUCAUGUCCUCUUGAUGAUUACAGAGACCCUGCUCCAGACUCACCUGUCCAAGAUGAUAUUCAUGUUAAAAUGGAUCACCUCUCAUUGGAAUCAAAGGAUACCAUUCAGAUGAAUGGAAACGAAAUGGUGGGGGGUGACAGACAUACUGACACUUUGCAGACUCAAAAUGCUCUCGUAUAUAACUCAGAUAGGGAGCCUUCUGCGGGUCUGUCAGAAGGUUCUUGUUCAGUGUCUAAAGAAGUAUGUAACCAAAAAGAAAUAGAUCCACAGGUCCACUCCUGUAGUUUGCAUGAAGUUUUAACUAAAGCUAAAUUGGAAGAGCUAAGAAAAGUCUUUCAAUUGGGAAAUAAUGGGACAGAAAGUGAAUCACUUAGAGGUGCUUUAGCUGUCCAUGAUGACGUUCUAGAGGCACAGAGCAUAACUAAUGUUAAACCAAAUGACCUGAUUGAGAUUGACAGUUUACAUCUGGUAUUUCAAACUUCAGUGGAUGGCUCUGAAGGUGAAAAUGGAGAUCUAGAUGUCAUUUUUCAGCAGCUCGACACUGAAGGGAGAGUCUACUGGGCAGAACCAAUCAAUAUUUCCAGUACAACUCCUGUGCUUGAAGAGUCAUACAGCUUUGAAACUUCAGUUGGCCCUCCUGAAAAUCCACAGUGGCCAAGAGGACCAGAAACUCAAGAUUCAUUUUCAUCCACAGGCAGAGCCUGUCUCCUGUCUCCUAUGCCUUUCUCUUAUUCAUCCUUAUCAACAGUUGACACUGAACAAACCUCAAGAAGUGGAACUUCCUCCUCAGAUACACCCCCCUCCUUCAUUCUAGCCCCCUUUGAAAUCCCAGACCACAAGCCAUCAGGCUGCUCUGUUUCUGUUCAGAUGUCUUCAUCUCCAUCUUCUCAUAUUGUCCAUAGGAAGGAUAUUCCCUAUAUGAGUGAAUCAAAACGCAAUCUUCUUCAUAGUGUUCUACCUUUAGACAAUUCAACCCCUUUCCGUGCUGUCCAGUCAUGGACAGAUCUGCAGAUUCAACGAAACACUGUCACCAAGAAGUUAUCACACUGGGGUCAUCAUACAGCCCCAAACAAAUUUGCUGCAUCCACGGCUGCCUCAGAAACAAUUCGAAGACCUACGUUGAUUUUCUCUUCAUCUUCGUCUUUCCCUCUGCUGUCUUAUGAUGAGCAGUCACAUGACUGUCUCCCUGGGAUGGCUAGAAAUUACAAUGCUAUGUCAAUCUCUGUGGAUAAAGAGCUGUGGCCUGGUGAAGAGGAGGUAGACAGGAGUGAAAAUGAAGACAAGGAGAAGCUUUGGGAAGGCAACCAAGUACCCACCAUGGCAUGCUACUGCACCUGUGACCAUCAGUGUACCUGCUGUACUCAGAAGAGUUACAACAAGCAACACACUCUGGGAAACAUUGCUUACUCUCUGGACGAGUUGGAGGAGAUGAUGCUGUGUCUGCAACAGUUUUUCUCUGUGCUCAGCAACAUGGAGGAGCAGCUCUCUAAAGACCAGUCUGCAGUUUACAGUGUUCUCUCUGACCAGGACAGGGAGAAGGUUCGGGACAUAGAGGAGCUGAGGCGGGCAGUGAAAAAGGAGGCUGCAAAGCUGGAGAUACAGUUGAAUGAACUGUCCCAUCACUAUGAUGAUAGCUUGAAAAUGGUAACUCACUCAGUCACACCACAUAGCCCCAAUAGAAAAGAUGCAUCAAAGAAAUUGAAUGCAAUUAAUUGAUUAAUUAUAAUGAAAAUAAUGCAUGUAAAACAAUGAAUGUGAUAAAGUACUCUUAGUUAAUUUUGUAUCAUUAUUCUGAUACUACAGUCACAGCGCUUGAGGCAACAACACUCAUUACAACCUGAAUAACAAAAGGGGUGAACCAAAUAUAUUGAGAUCUUCAUCAUCUUCAUCAUUUUAUCCUGAGGAUGACAGCAGAGGAGGCUAGUAGGAUGACCAAAAUUAUGAGGGUUCAUCAAGCGGGGACACCCCAGUCUAACAUCAAAAUAUAAUAUAGCUGCAUCAGUCCAAAGUGCAAAACUUAGUUCAGUGAAUUUUUAUGUCUUUAGUUUGUUAGUUAUUGUGAAGUUUUUUCUAAGUUUUGCCAAGUAAAACUUUAGAAUGCAAAAAUCUUUCUAGUGAUACUGGUUGUUUAAAUGUUUGCAUUCUAAAGUUUUUUUUCAACAAAAUAGCAUAGUGCCCGCAUUUGAAUCAAUUACUUUCUGUGUUAUAUUGUGUACACUGUAAACCUGUAAAAAAACCUGUAAAAAAACGGUCAAUGACAAAAAACUUAAUAUUAAAGUAAAAUAUCCUAAUUCAAAUUAAGUCCAGAAACAUUACUUUUACAGAAAUUUUCAUUAAAUGCUCUGCAGAAAAAUACCGUUAUUUUACAGAUUUUUGCUAAAUUGUUACAAUCACUUUGAAUAAAGUGACAAUGCUAAGUGUUCUGCAGAAAAAUACCGUUAUUUAAAAAAAAAAAAUCUAAAUUAUUACAUUCAAACACUUUGAAUAAAGUGACAAUGCUAAGAGUUCUGCAGAAAAAUACCGUUAUUCUACAAUUUUUUCCUAAAUUAUGAUCAAACACCUUUAAUAAGCCUUAAAAACCACUUUGGAAAAACAGUCAAAUGACUGGCAGCUACGACUGCCAAACAAAAACCCUAAAUAUUUUCACUGUUUCAAUUAAAGUAGGGUGGGGAACUUAAUCACAAAUGAAAUACACACCACUGUUGAUUCUAAAACCCCUUUAUUUAAUGUAUUGAGUUGUACAUUUACAAUAUCAACCAAUUAUUCACCAACAGUUCUUCAGAGCCCCCCAGGAGGAAUCAAAAAACUAAAAAUUAUAUUUCCCCAUAUGUGAAUCUUUUCUGUUAACAGUACUAUCAUAAUGAGGUCAUGAUUUCACCUUUGAAACAGGUGGAGAGCUUUUGGGCUGAGGGGGUUGUGGACUGUUGGGUUUUAGCUUGUAUUUUCCAAUUCAGUUGUAUUCUCCUGACCAUUGGGGGCUCUAUAUACUGUAGUUCUGAUAAUAUUUGUAGUAUUUGUGGCCAAGCAUGACAUUCUUGAUUUAGAACCCUGAAUAAACAGUGUACGUUUAAGUAAAAUCAAAACAUACCACAGAAGUUCAAUGAAUCUGUACCAGAAGUGACAAUGCAACAGAUGCAGCAGACAAGGAAGAAUCCUCCUCCAAAUUGCCAAUGAUCAGCUGGAACUGGGGUGCAUCUGGGAGUGGGGGAAGGGAAAAAGGACAAAGUAAGUACCACUGAAAAGUCCUUAUUAUAAAAAGUAGGAUUUCUUUCUUUCUUUUUUUAACCAUUUAUUUAAACAACCAUGAGGAGUUUGCUGUUUGCUAUUUAUAGGGUGUGGCUCAAUUCAAACAGGCUCAAGAAAUAAUUUGUCUCUCACCAUUGACUGCCAUACACAGCUUUUCUGAAAUAAGGUCCCAUGGUGCACACCGGAAGGAGCGUGACUUCGGCUUUCUAUUAUUGUAGUAAAACUAAUCACAAAUGUGUGCGGAGAGUUGUGUCUGUAUCUCAAUCUGUGUGUGUAUAAUCAGAUUGUAAAUGUGAAAUAGAAUCACACAAAUCACCACACACAUUUGCAAAUCUACUGCGGCAGAUGUGUGGCAAAAGUCACGUGUGAAGAGACAGCCAAUUGAGAGGCCCAUGUGAGUUGUAACUGAUGACUUGUCUGUAUUUCCAGCUCUUGGAGCAAAAUACUUAGACUUUUCUGCCAACACUUUCAAAGAUUUAUCUACACUUACAGUUCUCCAUAAUAAUGUAAUGGAUAGUGGAUAACAUUGACCAAUAUCUUGCCUUAUAUAUUGCAGUUGAUACUUACUAAUGGUAGACUUGUCUCACCGUUGGGUGCCUGUUCUCUGCCUUAAACCUUGUUCCAAUGCUUGGUCUGCAAAAAAUAUAAGCAGAUUUCUCAUCAUUAGCAGUUAUCAGUGUAAAAAAUAUUCAGAAAUAAACAGGCAGAUACACAUACAUAAGGCCAAAUAUAACAUCUCUGUAACAUGUCUCCAAGACAAGCAUAAGCCUUAUCAUAUACUGUAUUUCUGUGUAAUUUAGGGGGAGCUGAUGCAAAAAUCUUUAAAAAGUUUGAUAUCAAAGUCCAGUGUGUCAUAUUUAGUGGUAUUUAGUCCAUAUAGGGGACCUGACAGAAAUGGAAUAUAAUAUUCAUAUGCUGUUUUUCUUAGCAUAUAACUGCAUGAAAAUAAGAAUCGGGGCAACUGUGGCUCAGGGGGUUGAGUGGUCGUCCAAUCAGAUGGUUCAAUCCCUGACUCCUCCUGUCCUCCUAUUGAAGUGUCCUUUGCUCCUGAUGGUUGUGAACUGCCUGGUCACCUGUCAAUAUCAGUGAGUGUGUGUGUGUGGUAAUAAAUUGCACAUGGCCUAUCACAAUACAAAACAAUAACUAGAAAUACCUCAAGGUUGUAUGCCUCUGCACAGAUGUUAUUUUUAAGUUGACAUUCAUGUGUGUUCAGGUGCAUAUAACAUAUGUAGUGAAGAUUUGAUUUUUUAAAAAUAAUGUAGUGUAUAUUUUCUUCAAAGUUGAAAAUAUUACUUCAUAUAUUUUAGUUUGUUAUAUACAUCCAGAUUAUGUGCUCAUUGACUCUGCGCUAUCGCCAGCGCGGAGGCACAAGACUUAUUUCUGUAUAUUACAGGCACUUAAUUAAGAAUUUCAUAUAAAAUCACAUGUUGUUAUCUGCCAUCUACCCAACACACACCAAACUUCAAAUCAAAUCGAAAAUAUUAUCUGCAGGUUGAAGGCCUGGAGUGAAGUUGUUGAAACUAACAACCACAUCACAGCAACUCUCCGGGCACUUCUGGAGCUCAUGCUGCAUUUAUAUUUAUAUAGUACUAGUGCAUUGGCCGUAGGAAAUAUGUGUUCCUAUAGAAAAGUGGGAGGUUAAGAAGCUUUUUCAUGGAUGGCCAAAUGAGGCUGUGUUUGAAGUUGGGACGUCAGGGAUAUUUAGGUUUGUUGUGAAAUCCGAUAUUCCAGGCUAUAAUUGGCCGUUUUUGACUAUUUUUUGAUUUUGCCAUUAUAUUUCACCCUAAAAACUAUUUACUUGGUGUCAUUAUUUUCAGCACAACCUCACAUGUGUGACUGUUCAGUUAUUUUUUUCAUUUUGACACACUGUAUUACCACAAUGGACCUAAAAUCACAAAAAAAACAUAAAAUCCGAGUAGGAAAAAGUUUUUACUGUGAAAACCACAAAUAUGUUUAAAAAAUUUUUUUAUAUUACUUAUAAUGCAAAUAUAAAUUGUUGUUGGCUAAAUAUGUGCAUAUAUUUAAAAAAUUUACAAAGUUAUAAGUAACUAUUUACAUUUAAUUGCAGGCAAUGCUCAGGUCUGCCUGAGCUCCUUCCAGCUGAAUGAAGAGCUGCACUGCCUGCUCCACAUUCAGCAGUUUCCUCAUUGUUCUGACUUAUUAAACAAAAACCGACUCCACUACACACUAAACACACUACACCAAACACUACAUAACAGAGGCGGGGCUUCCAUGGUGGCACGGGGGGCACCAACCCCCCCCCCCCCCCCUCCCCCCCCCCCCCCGUAAUCUGAUUGGCCACCCUGUGUGCCCCUCCAUUGGUCAUUGACUCGGGGUAAUGUCAACCAUUGCACUAAAGCUCUUUACCGACACUGCAUGUUAAAACGGAAGCAAAGCUGAAACCUUGUGUGAGUAGACUGUGUUAAGAACUUAUGAAGGCUUUUAUUUGGGAAAAAAGACAAAGGAAGUGGCUCCGCGGCUGCUAAUGAACUUUUGUAACUUCACCAGUGAUGGACUUUUUCUCAAAGUGAUACUGCAGGUGCACCGAGUGAAGGUAAGAACAGAACUCUACAUGUUCUUUAACAUGUUCACAACAAUGUUUUGCUAACUUUUGUUCCAUUUGGGUCUAAUUUGGUAAUAUGGUUCAAUUAGCAUGGGAAACAGUUCUUGUGUGUUUUCUUUAGUUAGCUCUCCAUCUGGAUAAACGUAAACAUCUCUCCACUGUUUCAAUAACGUUAGCAAUUAGCAUCCGUUGUAUGUCUGGUGUUUUGUGACAUGAAUUAACAGCCAACAACGGAGUAUCUUAUCAAUGUUGCCACUGUGAUGUUGGUACAGUACAAAUAACAUUUUGCAAUUCAUUGUGUUUGUGGACACGUUUUGAAUGUAGACUACACAGUAUGAAACGGAGGCAGGGAGAUAUCUCCAGUUACUUCACAAAGAGGAAAAUUAGCAGGCAGAGUGCAGAUGACCAACAGGAGUGUGAGAGUAGUCAAGCUGAAUGCAGCCAGGCAGCUAACACAGGCCAACAUCUCCAGGGCCAGACCAGACCUCAUGGACCUCCAGGUGAAAAUGCAGGUAUUAGGGAAAUGCUUUAAAACGUGUAAUGUGGUGUUCUGCACGA
RNAcentral lists this long non-coding RNA (8011 nucleotides) under Sparus aurata (gilthead seabream). RNAcentral's name for it is "lncRNA (ENSSAUG00010014651.1)". The record is from RNAcentral. Lineage: Eukaryota; Metazoa; Chordata; Actinopteri; Spariformes; Sparidae.